CGUUCAAUCAUGCGAUCAUCGAUCGUCAAAUUAGCAAAGACAGCUGCAACCCGAAAUAAUCGUGCGAAACUUUAUUAAAUUGUUGAUGUUUAAAGAAAAUCAUGUAUAAGUGCAAGCUUGUCGUUGUUGGUUAUCUGCGCCCAGCAAAGUUAGUCAUGUCAAGAUCUUUAUCAACGCAGACUGCUUUGGAAGGUUCAGCAAGGGUCGUCUCGAAAACGCAUCUAAAAACUGGUGACCCUCUGCCAGAGUUAAGAGCUGGUUUUUCCAUGGCUGUUUAGCGCCAAAUUAUCUCCGUUUUCUCAUCGGGUUCGCUUGGUUUUUGCAACAAAAGGAAUCAGCUACGAUGAGAUCAACUGCAACUUGGGGACCAAGCCGAGUUCCUUGUGGAGCGCAACCC
Molecule: long non-coding RNA, 397 nt
Organism: Patiria miniata (bat star)
Lineage: Eukaryota; Metazoa; Echinodermata; Asteroidea; Valvatida; Asterinidae
Exons: 3
Source: RefSeq, a predicted model, not a curated record